GUAGGAGAGCAGUCACUGAAGGCAGUCAUUGAGGGCGGUCACUGUGCGUCUGUCAGCGGACGUGCGGGCACGGCUGUGAGCGUGCUGCUGUUCCCCGCUCCGCAGCGCCGCGCGGGUUCGCAUUCCCGCGCUUCUCUUACCCGGAGUGCACGGCGGUCCUCCGUCGCUCCUUGGAGCAGUGUCCGUUCUGAACAGUCAGGCCCUUUUUGGUGUCCUGGAUCACUCUACAACUCGGGGUGGAAGUUGAAGACUCAGAUCCAAUAUCCCACAGGCACAGCUGAUGCUGAACCCAGGAGCCCAGGUUGUGCUCAGGAGUUACUCCAAGAUGAGGAGUUUUGAAGACUAUUGGUCUUCAAGCAGGUGACAGUAGCAGCAGAACACUGGGCCAGUGCAGGGGGAAGGAAGAGGGAAAGGACAGGAUACCUUCAGAGCAGCCUGAAAAGCAGCAACGAGCUCUGGGAGGACUACAGAGUGCCACAUUCUGUAACAGGUGUAUCUGUGUGUGUAUUGCCAUUACUUGUUUGGGUCGGGGUUGUUUUCACUUCUGAGCUCCUGCAGUGAGAAGAGCUCGAGCAAAUGGUGCAAUCCAUGCAGACCUGUAGAAUCCUUGGUAAGGGCAGCCCCAGCC
RNAcentral lists this long non-coding RNA (628 nucleotides) under Gallus gallus (chicken). RNAcentral's name for it is "lncRNA (ENSGALG00010007613.1)". Lineage: Eukaryota; Metazoa; Chordata; Aves; Galliformes; Phasianidae. The record is from RNAcentral.